This 506-nucleotide ribosomal RNA is filed under the name uncultured bacterium. RNAcentral describes it as "partial 16S ribosomal RNA". It matches the Rfam family "Bacterial small subunit ribosomal RNA", at positions 28 to 507 of the family's 1533-position model. The record is from RNAcentral.
GACGAACGCUGGCGGCGUGCUUAACACAUGCAAGUCGAACGGUGAAGGGACUGGUUUUGCUGGUCCUGGAUGGGUGGCGAACGGGUGAGUAACACGUGAGUAACCUGCCCCCUUCUUCUGGAUAACCGCAUGAAAGUGUGGCUAAUACGGGAUAUUCUGGGUCUGUCGCAUGGUGGGCCUGGGAAAGAUUGCGCCUUUUUUGGUGUUUUUGGUGGGGGUUGGGCUCGCGGCCUAUCAGCUUGUUGGUGGGGUGAUGGCCUACCAAGGCGGUGACGGGUAGCCGGCCUGAGAGGGUGGACGGUCACACUGGGACUGAGACACGGCCCAGACUCCUACGGGAGGCAGCAGUGGGGAAUAUUGCACAAUGGGCGCAAGCCUGAUGCAGCGACGCCGCGUGAGGGAUGGAGGCCUUCGGGUUGUGAACCUCUUUCGCCAGUGAAGCAGGCCUGCCUCUUUUUGUGGGUGGGUUGACGGUAGCUGGAUAAGAAGCGCCGGCUAACUACGUG